RNAcentral lists this unclassified non-coding RNA (515 nucleotides) under Aspergillus fumigatus. RNAcentral's name for it is "sequence contains 18S rRNA gene, ITS1, 5.8S rRNA gene, ITS2, 28S rRNA gene". The stretch from base 194 to 347 matches the Rfam family "5.8S ribosomal RNA". The record is from RNAcentral. Lineage: Eukaryota; Fungi; Ascomycota; Eurotiomycetes; Eurotiales; Aspergillaceae.
GAUCAUUACCGAGUGAGGGCCCUCUGGGUCCAACCUCCCACCCGUGUCUAUCGUACCUUGUUGCUUCGGCGGGCCCGCCGUUUCGACGGCCGCCGGGGAGGCCUUGCGCCCCCGGGCCCGCGCCCGCCGAAGACCCCAACAUGAACGCUGUUCUGAAAGUAUGCAGUCUGAGUUGAUUAUCGUAAUCAGUUAAAACUUUCAACAACGGAUCUCUUGGUUCCGGCAUCGAUGAAGAACGCAGCGAAAUGCGAUAAGUAAUGUGAAUUGCAGAAUUCAGUGAAUCAUCGAGUCUUUGAACGCACAUUGCGCCCCCUGGUAUUCCGGGGGGCAUGCCUGUCCGAGCGUCAUUGCUGCCCUCAAGCACGGCUUGUGUGUUGGGCCCCCGUCCCCCUCUCCCGGGGGACGGGCCCGAAAGGCAGCGGCGGCACCGCGUCCGGUCCUCGAGCGUAUGGGGCUUUGUCACCUGCUCUGUAGGCCCGGCCGGCGCCAGCCGACACCCAACUUUAUUUUUCUAA